This is an RNA transcript of Populus nigra (black poplar), 872 nucleotides long. RefSeq lists it as uncharacterized. Lineage: Eukaryota; Viridiplantae; Streptophyta; Magnoliopsida; Malpighiales; Salicaceae. The transcript is spliced from 3 exons. The record is from RefSeq and is a predicted model, not a curated record.
CAUAAAUAAAAUCAUUUCUUCGUAUUUAUCAACCUCACAAAUCAAGUCUUCUAGCUAGGAUCAAGUCUGUUAGCCGUAAAAUCCAUGGCUUCCACGUUCUCACCACUGCCGCUCAGAACUCUCUCUCUCCACCGUAUGCGCAAUGCACACCCCACCAUCUGCGAGGCGCACAUCAGUCCUAAACCUGCGCCGAUUUCCUUCCCCGGCCGAAGACAUCUUCUCUUCAUGCUAGCGUCAGCACCAGCACUGGCCUUAAGAGAACCAUCUUCACUGGCGCAGGACAUUCCUUUGUUUGGGCUGAGGAAGAAGCUGAAGAGGGCGGAGGAGGAAGCUGAGGAGCUGGUGAAGGAAGGGUUUGAGACGGCGGAGAAGGGGUUGGAGACAGCGGGGAAAGGGAUCGUGACGGUUGAGAGAGGGAUUGAGACAGCAGAGAAAGAGAUUGUGAUGGCAGAGAAGGAGAUUGAGGAAGCGGUGAGCUUUGGUGGGCUAGCGCAGGCUGGUGCGGUGGCUGGAGCGGAGGUUGUUGGCGUCUUGGUUGCUACUGCCAUUGUUAAUGGGAUUUUGGGGCCUGAGGGUUCUAAAUCAUAAAGUUUCUUUCCAACCAUGACAGAGAUGGUAAGCACGCUAUGUCCAAAAUCAAAAUCAUGAUCCGUUCAGGGUAUCACUUGAAGACUUUGGAGAACUUCAAGGCUUCCUUCAAAACCACACUACUAAGAAGCUUUGUGUUGUACGUUUCUUUUUAUUUAUAAAUUAUUUAUGAUUAUGAUUAAUAAAUUUUGAAAUAAUUUGUGUCCUUAAGAUAAUGCUUGAACACAGUGGGAGCCGAAUUACAAGUUGUUAAUAAAAGUAGCAACCCCAUUUCAUUUCUAGCA